UGGACAGCGAAGGCCUUCUCCAUCUCCAUUAUCCAGUUAUCAGCCUCCAAAGGUUCAGUAGUCCCCUUGAAAGCUGGAGAAGCAAGCUUUUUAAAUUCUGAAAUAUUGUUCCAUUGUACUGGUUGCUCUCCAUGUUGUGGUGGUGGAUGCUGAUGUUGUUGUGUAUCUCGUUGCAUCUGCUGUUGUUCAAGCAUUUGUUGCUGUAUUUGUUGUUGUGUUUGUACCAUCUCGAUUAGGGUCUACAUUAACUGAGCCAUAUCCGGUUCCUGACGUGCUCUUGAAGUACUUCCAUUAGGAUCUACGACUCCCUCC
This 312-nucleotide long non-coding RNA is filed under the name Elaeis guineensis (African oil palm). RNAcentral describes it as "long non-coding RNA (EGUI_LNC081731)". The record is from RNAcentral. Lineage: Eukaryota; Viridiplantae; Streptophyta; Magnoliopsida; Arecales; Arecaceae.